UAAGUUGCCUCCUUUAUUUCUUACUUCUCUUUGUGACAUCAUCAUUGUCCACAUCAUCUGGCCCCUGGUCCCAUCUGUCUUGGGCAGGUGGCUGGAAAUUUGAGCCAGUGUCCCGGGGAGAUACUACCAGACUUCCUCCACGGAAGACAGGAGCAUAAAUGACUGGAAGAGCGGAGAGCUGGAUGGAGUAUGGUGCAAGGAACAGCUUCUUCUCUACGCAUGGCUCUGUGUGCAGUGUUCGCCUGAUUCUGAAGAUG
RNAcentral lists this long non-coding RNA (257 nucleotides) under Homo sapiens (human). RNAcentral's name for it is "non-protein coding lnc-PIEZO2-2:6". The record is from RNAcentral. Lineage: Eukaryota; Metazoa; Chordata; Mammalia; Primates; Hominidae.